GCGAGUCCACCGUAGUUACACACACACACGCACUACCUAGCGUUAGCAACAAGACCCACAGCAGCAUCACAGAGUCUGUAAGGUUAACUCGGAGUAUUCACAGGUGCUGGUGUAGGAGUGCGCCGGCGGGGAAACGGAUCCGCAAUGCUGAACCCGACCAAUGGUGACCCACACUGAAAAAAAGGGACUGGCCAUCUCUUGGAUUUAUGUAAGCAUCUUGCAUGUAUUUAACACAAUUACCUCAUGUUUUAAAGAUAAAUGUAACUAUAUAGUGUAAAAACUACAUGAUAUGCAGAAAGGGUGUAUUAAAUUGUUCAUAUCAUGUUCAGGUGAAGUAAGUCAAUAAGAUAGCAACGUUAAAUCUCGUGAAACCACGCGUGAUUUCAUCUCGCGGGCUUUGGAUUGUGGUUCAAAAAAGGCAUCCAUCUCAGUCAAGUCGAGCAGCCAACUCUACGUUUUUGGAGUCAGCUGAUGGAUUGUGGGUUCAAGGUGUUAUGAUAAAAUGCAGCAUUCCAGUGCAUCCCAACCAUGCCUUUACAGUCAAGGUUUCUGACGGAGCUGAGUUUCUCUCUGACAGUCUGCUGAAAGUGUUUGCAAAGUGAUCGGGGGAACAGUGCACAAAGCUAAAGGAUGUAGCUGCCAUGAUGACAGAUGACAUUAAUGCUCAAAGGGGGUCUCAUCAAAGUGCUCCGCAUCUGUGUGAAAGACAAUUGCAACAUCUUGGUGCAGGAGUUCAU
Astatotilapia calliptera (eastern happy) is the source of this 737-nucleotide long non-coding RNA. The record is from Ensembl. NCBI's taxonomy places the organism in Eukaryota, Metazoa, Chordata, Actinopteri, Cichliformes, Cichlidae.